UAUCAAUUAAUUGUCCCUCUCCUAGAAAACUAUCUAUUUGAGUUGUCAUGAUCUUUGGCUCUUGAUCGUAAGAUCAAUAAUUAACUUUAGAGCACCUACUCUGAUACCACUUGUUGCCCAGUAGAUACAACCCAAGAGGGGGGGUGAAUUGGGUUUUUUAAGACUUUUCAACUACUUCUAAACUUUUCAAUUAAUUAAGAUAAGUUGUAUAGAUGCACAGUGGAAUUUAAACUUAGCAACAAUUUGAUUCUAAUAUGAUCAAAAUUAAAACUAUUAAGCAGCGGACUCAAUAAACAAUUAGUCUAGAUUUCCCCAAGCAAGCAUUUCAAUACAAUGAAUCUUAAUGCAGUUUUAUUAAAUGAAACUUGAUUAAACAAUUUGAAUAUAAUUGCAACUAAGGGAUGCACGGAUAAGAGUUAAGCAAGCAAUUCAAUCAGAUAUUUAUCAAGUAAGUGAGAUAAUUAAAUAAUGAAAGAAAGCAUCACAAACACAACAAACAUAUAGUGGUUCGGUGCACCCCAGCACCUACAUCCACUCUCCAAGACCUCUUAGAAAUUUCACUAUAAUCCCUCAGAUUACAGCCGGUUGUUUUACAAGCUCACAACCUAACUUGUUGUUUUUACGAGAUCACAACGAAAUCGGUCGGUUUUCACAGGCUCACCGACUAGAACCACUCGAUUGUUUUUCCGGGUUCACAAUCAAACUCAGUUGGUUUUUUCCGGUUCACCAACCACAACCUUACACCGUUGGUUUUUUCUUUGGCUCACCAACAAAUCUUAACCCCUUGAUUCAAUCCCUUGAUUGAAUCAAGUUACAAAAUAUUAGAACAAGAGUUUAAAACAAAUACAAGCUUCUUAAACAAGCAGAUAUAACAAUAUAAACAAAUAGAGUAAAGAGAAGAAGCCCUCAAACAAAUUUUGUAGAUGAAGAAACUCGGCUUCUUCUUUACUUGACCCUCUUCUGAUUUCGCACGAGGUAGAGGAUCACUGAGGCAGCACACAGUUGGAAAGAAAGCCUUGGGAUUCACUCAGAUGCUCUUCUUCUCUCUCUUUUGCUUUGAAUGGCCCUUUUGUGCUUUUGGAAGGUUUCUCUUGAAAUCUCUUCCCUAUGUGUUCUCUCCCACUUCCUUUUCUUCUCCCCUAGCUUUCCCCUUGAUUUUAUAGCUUUGGAUGGCGUGGAAACAAAAAUCUAGCCGUUAGAGAUAAAAAUAGAGCCGUUCUGAUCCGUCUGCACAGUCUGUCAAUGUAUCCGUUGGGAUCGGAGUCGACUCGCGUGAUCUGGAGUCGACUCGGCUGUUACUGGAGUCGACUCGCGCUUUACUGGAGACGACUCGCCCACUGUUCCAGAUUUAAAUUAAAGUGCAUGUCUCGUCCUGGAGUUGACUCGGAUCAAACUGGAGUCGACUCGCCAACAGCUGGAGACGACUCGAGCACUUAAGGGUCGGCUCGUUCUCAGGGUUCCAGAAACCCAACUUUUUAUUUUUCUUCCUCAAGUCGACUCGGGUUUACUUGGAGUCGACUCGGCUGUCGUAAGAGGCGACUCGAGAUCUUCGGAAGACGUCUCGCUCUCAGAGACCGAAAAAUUGAUUCUCUAUCUUUUGAACUGAUCUGCCUCAAAGUCGACUCGGGCCUUGAUGGAGUCGACUCGGCUAUCUUAGGGGUCGACUCUGGAACACUUGGAGUCGACUCGUUCACAGAAUCUCCGAAACUGAUUCUCUGUCUUUUUGUCUGCUUCCCUUUGGAGUCGACUCGGGACCAUCUGGAGUCGGCUCGCCAGCAUCGGAGUCGACUCGCAACCUUUGGAGUCGACUCGCUGACAGGGUCUAAAAUCCAUCAUUCUGUCUUUCUAUCUGUUCUCAGUCGGAGUCGACUCGGAGAGUCCCGGAGUCGACUCGAGCAUUGUUCCUUGAAACUCCAGAGUGCCAGAGUCGACUCUGAACUUCCAGAAGUCGACUCGAGGACUAUUCUUCUGAAUCUUUCUUGAAUUUGCUCCUCCAACUUGAAUUCUUUGUACUUGUAACUUGGGCCAAUGAAGUGUGGCUUUCUUCCAACUUUUCUUGAGAACUUUUGAGGCUUUUUUGCAUUCUUCCAACUUGCUAUAUUCCUUGCAAAACAAUUUAUCUUUCUUCUUGCAACACAACCAUUAGUAAUUAUACUUCAAGGUUUUGUGAUCAUCAAAAUCAAUCUUUGGGUCAGCAGAAACCAUGUACAAAUGUAAAAGUUCAACUUAUCCUCCUUUGAGCUG
This 2244-nucleotide long non-coding RNA is filed under the name Phoenix dactylifera (date palm). RNAcentral describes it as "long non-coding RNA (PDAC_LNC013270)". The record is from RNAcentral. Lineage: Eukaryota; Viridiplantae; Streptophyta; Magnoliopsida; Arecales; Arecaceae.